AGUUUUAAUAAUUUAAAUAAAAUAUUGGUUUUGUAAACCAAAAUUAAGUAUAUACUUUUAAAACUUC
Molecule: transfer RNA, 67 nt
Filed under: Argopistes tsekooni
Lineage: Eukaryota; Metazoa; Arthropoda; Insecta; Coleoptera; Chrysomelidae
Description: tRNA-Thr
Source: RNAcentral